This 403-nucleotide unclassified non-coding RNA is filed under the name fungal sp. Its description in RNAcentral is "partial internal transcribed spacer region". The stretch from base 1 to 46 matches the Rfam family "Eukaryotic small subunit ribosomal RNA", at positions 1786 to 1831 of the family's 1831-position model. Lineage: Eukaryota; Fungi. The record is from RNAcentral.
AAGUCGUAACAAGGUUUCCGUAGGUGAACCUGCGGAAGGAUCAUUAACACGUAUCCAACGUUAAACCCCCCUGUGAACUUUCAGAACCCGAUCUCGUAUACCCAGUGCGGCACAGCAAUCCCGGUAAAUCAUUGUUAAACAGUUUUGAUUCGGGACUUCUGACAAAUGCGUUACGAUCGAGCGGUAUAGGGUGGCAUGGCUUCCCCAAGCAGUCAGUGAAUGAAAGUGUCAUUGAUUGUGUAAGGAUAACGCUUCACGAUUGCUAGAGGUCACUCACGGCCGGCAACCAUGUCACAGGGUCCUUUGAGACUCCAUCGAAACCCCACUACUUAAUAACAGGGCUGCGUUAACUUCGCGCCUAAAAAAAACCGAACAACUGUUAACAAUGGAUAUCUUGGUUCUC